Gadus morhua (Atlantic cod) is the source of this 119-nucleotide ribosomal RNA. NCBI's taxonomy places the organism in Eukaryota, Metazoa, Chordata, Actinopteri, Gadiformes, Gadidae. The record is from Ensembl.
GCUUACGGCCAUACCACCUGAGGCACGCCCGAUCUCGUCUGAUCUCGGAAGCUAAGCAGGGUCGGGCCUGGUUAGUACUUGGAUGGGUGACCGCCUGGGAAUACCAGGUGCUGUAAGCA